Molecule: ribosomal RNA, 254 nt
Filed under: uncultured bacterium
Lineage: Bacteria
Description: partial 16S ribosomal RNA
Rfam family: Bacterial small subunit ribosomal RNA
Source: RNAcentral
UACGGGGGGAGCAAGCGUUGUUCGGAUUUACUGGGCGUAAAGGGCGCGUAGGCGACCACCGCAAGUCGGUUGUGAAAUCUCUGGGCUUAACCCAGAAAGGUCAACCGAUACUGCGGGGCUAGAGUGCAGAAGGGGCAACUGGAAUUCUCGGUGUAGCGGUGAAAUGCGUAGAUAUCGUGAGGAAGACCAGUGGCGAAGGCGGGUCUCUGGACAGUUCCUGACACUGAGGAGCGAAAGCCAGGGGAGCAAACGGG